CUACGGGAGGCAGCAGUGAGGAAUAUUGCCCAAUGGGCGCAAGCCUGAGGCGGCAACGCCGCGUGGACGAUGAAGGCCUUCGGGUUGUAAAGUCCUUUUCUGGGGGAAGAGCAAGGACGGUACCCCAGGAAAAAGUGUCGGCUAACUACGUGCCAGCAGCCGCGGUAAUACGUAGGUGGCGAACGUUAUCCGGAAUCACUGGGCGUAAAGGGUCCGCAGGUGGCAUGUCAAGUCGAUUGUGAAAGCUCCCGGCUCAACUGGGAGAGGACGGUCGAAACUGGCAAACUAGAGUCCGACAGAGGUCGGCGGAAUUCCCGGUGUAGUGGUGGAAUGCGUGGAUUUCGGGAGGAACGCCAAAAGCGAAAGCAGCCGGCUGGGUCGAGACUGACACUGAGGGACGAAAGCGUGGGUAGCGAACAGGAUUAGAAACCCCUGUAGUCC
This 441-nucleotide ribosomal RNA is filed under the name uncultured bacterium. RNAcentral describes it as "bacterial SSU rRNA". It matches the Rfam family "Bacterial small subunit ribosomal RNA", at positions 339 to 796 of the family's 1533-position model. The record is from RNAcentral.